This 449-nucleotide ribosomal RNA is filed under the name uncultured bacterium. Its description in RNAcentral is "partial 16S ribosomal RNA". It matches the Rfam family "Bacterial small subunit ribosomal RNA", at positions 29 to 523 of the family's 1533-position model. The record is from RNAcentral.
AGCGAACGCUGGCGGCAGGCCUAACACAUGCAAGUCGAACGGAUCCUUCGGGAUUAGUGGCGGACCGGUGAGUAACACGUGGGAACGUGCCCUGUGGUUCGGAACAACUCAGGGAAACUUGAGCUAAUACCGGAUGUGCCCUUCGGGGGAAAGAUUUAUCGCCAUUGGAGCGGCCCGCGUCUGAUUAGCUAGUUGGUGAGGUAAAGGCUCACCAAGGCGACGAUCAGUAGCUGGUCUGAGAGGAUGAUCAGCCACAUUGGGACUGAGACACGGCCCAAACUCCUACGGGAGGCAGCAGUGGGGAAUCUUGCGCAAUGGGCGAAAGCCUGACGCAGCCAUGCCGCGUGAAUGAUGAAGGUCUUAGGAUUGUAAAAUUCUUUCACCGGGGACGAUAAUGACGGUACCCGGAGAAGAAGCCCCGGCUAACUUCGUGCCAGCCGCCGCGGUAA